This 633-nucleotide ribosomal RNA is filed under the name Chlorencoelia sp. CMON55. Its description in RNAcentral is "LSU rRNA". It matches the Rfam family "Eukaryotic large subunit ribosomal RNA", at positions 40 to 687 of the family's 3401-position model. The record is from RNAcentral. Lineage: Eukaryota; Fungi; Ascomycota; Leotiomycetes; Helotiales; Cenangiaceae.
AUAUCAAUAAGCGGAGGAAAAGAAACCAACAGGGAUUGCCUCAGUAACGGCGAGUGAAGCGGCAAAAGCUCAAAUUUGAAAUCUGGCCCUUUCAGGGUCCGAGUUGUAAUUUGCAGAAGAUGCUUCGGGUGUGGCCCCGGUCUAAGUUCCUUGGAACAGGAUGUCAUAGAGGGUGAGAAUCCCGUAUAUGUCUGGGGGUCCACGCCCAUGUGAAGCUCUUUCGACGAGUCGAGUUGUUUGGGAAUGCAGCUCAAAAUGGGUGGUAAAUUUCAUCUAAAGCUAAAUACUGGCCAGAGACCGAUAGCGCACAAGUAGAGUGAUCGAAAGAUGAAAAGCACUUUGGAAAGAGAGUUAAACAGUACGUGAAAUUGUUGAAAGGGAAGCGCUUGCAACCAGACUUGGGCCGGGGCGAUCAUCGGGGGUUCUCCCCCGUGCACUCGCCUCGGCGCAGGCCAGCAUCGGUUCUCGCGGUUGGAUAAAGGCCCAGGGAACGUGGCCCCUCUCGGGGGGUGUUAUAGCCCUAGGUGUCAUGCAGCCAGCGGGGACCGAGGACCGCGCUUCGGCUAGGAUGCUGGCGUAAUGGUUGUAAGCGACCCGUCUUGAAACACGGAUCAAGGAGUCUAACAUCUAUGC